AUCACUGUUGUACAGCGUCCACCGGAUAUAGCCCCUAAAAACGCCGAAAACGAAACUAGAAAGCGGUACACCGAGUACACCCAAGACUAAACAUGGAUAAAUUGGAUGACGAUAAAGAGUUAUUUGAUUUUGGAUUGUAUCACAGGUCGGAGGACGACGAUAGCGACGACGGAGAGCAAAGCUUGCCUCUGGAUCUGUCCUGUGGAUCAUUGGACUUGUCAGGUGUCCAAGAAGGGCCUUUGACGAGCACUCCAGCCAAACCAAAAAAGGCAAAAUCCAAAUUAUCAUGUGACCAAUGUGGAAACACAUAUUAAACUAAAUAUGGGUUAAACAUCCAUCGUAUGAAGCACACUGGACAUUACAAGCAUGUAUGCGCUAUUUGUAGUCAAGGGUUUGGCCAGACCAAACAAUUUAAAUCACACGUGGCAUCUCACAACAAACUUGCAGUGUCAAAAUGUGGUGACUGUGGGAAAGCAUUCACUGGCCAUUCGUCUUUGAAGCGUCAUACUCUUGUUUGUGGUAAGAGAAAUAUUUCCUCGAAAUUCUCCUGUGAUGAGUGUGCUUUAGAAUUCAAAACAAAGGAGUACCUAAGGGCCCACCAGCGAGGUAAACACCAGGACCCGAGGUACAUGUGUGAAAACUGUGGAAAAGCCUUCGCGUGGAGAUCUUCACUUCGAGUGCAUAAAAAGAAGUGCAAAUGAAUCAGAUAACAGCUUAACUUUUACAUUAGUGUGGGCUUUGAGAAGUCGUUGGAUACUUACUAAUGAUAUUUGAAUUCAGUUUUUGUUUAAUCCAAGUUCUUAUUUCGAAAGUUUAGAUUUUGAUUAUGUUUUCGAAAAUGUUAUAACACCUAGGUAAAGGUACAUGAUUUAUAUCCCAACUAGUAAAAUAUGUCUAUAAUCUCCCAUACCAUUUUCUAUUUUAUGCAAACAACAACAUUUUGUCUUUUUUUAUGCCCAGAAAGGGUGCCGUGUCCGUCCAAUCGUCCUUCCGUGCGUCUAUGUUUACUGUUUUCGGCAAGCGUUUUUUGUUGAGUCUUUACAUUUAAACUUCAUGGAUACAUACACGUUGAUGAGUUCUACCUGUCAUGCCCACUUAGAGAGGACAUGGUCAAAAGUCAAGUCCAUUGUCAAUGUUAAACUCGAUCCUUACCAGGAAGGCCUUCCUCCUACAGUCUGCAAGCUUAAUACUUUACUCAAUAUGAGCUCUACCCACCAAACCCAGUGAGAGGUCUAAGGUCGAGGUCAUCAUGCCUCAUGAGGCCCUUAUCGGAGAGGGGGGACAUGACGCUCCUUGUUUAAAAUUAAGUUUAAUGUUGAUGUGGCACAUUGUUCAUACAUAUGUGAUAAUAUGUUAUAAUGUUAGGAAGUUUCGGAAAA
Ruditapes philippinarum (Manila clam) is the source of this 1379-nucleotide long non-coding RNA. RefSeq lists it as uncharacterized. The transcript has 4 exons. The record is from RefSeq and is a predicted model, not a curated record. Lineage: Eukaryota; Metazoa; Mollusca; Bivalvia; Venerida; Veneridae.